This 1793-nucleotide long non-coding RNA is filed under the name Homo sapiens (human). RNAcentral's name for it is "HSALNT0023024". Lineage: Eukaryota; Metazoa; Chordata; Mammalia; Primates; Hominidae. The record is from RNAcentral.
GUGCGCACGGCGUCGAACCCCCGAAGCCCGGGUUUGGGGCGCCCGGAGGGAAGUGGGGGGAGGGGAAGGCGGGCGGAGGCGCGGCGGGUGAACGCCCGGCCUGCGGGCGUCUCGGGCCGCGGCGGGGAGGGGAGGGAGGGGCUGCCCCCGCGCGGGCCCCGGCGCGCGCCCCCGAGGAGACCCGGGCGGCAGUGGGGGAGGAGGACGCGGUCGGCCGGGUCGCCGCGCCCCAUUGGAAAACGCUCCCCAGCAGGAAGCUGGCAAAUAGGAAUCCAGCGUCCCGCGCCCGCUGUCGGACCUGGCCGCUGCGGCAGCGGGAGGGGCGGACCGACGGCCUCCUUCCCGCCUGCGCGCUCGGCCAAGUGCGGCCGGGUCCUGCGGGACCGGCCCGAGUCCGCCGUAGACAACUUGAUCCGCUAAGACUCCUGGGCCGGCCGCCUGCGUGCAGGGCAGCCCCUCGCCGGUGUUGGCCUCCGGGAUCAGGGGACGGGGCUCGCUCUCCUCCCGGGCCCGGGCCCCCGACGCAAGAUGGCUGUGUCGCGUCGGCCUCUAAACAAUGUGUGGAGCGCGCAGCUCCUGCACCAGGGCCUGGUGGCUUGUCCUGCCCGCCCGUGGGGGCCGUGUGAUCUGUUUUCGGAAACCGAAAUAUUUAUUGUUGGAUUUAUCCAGGAAGGCUGUUCUGCAUUAGUUAAAUGCAUCAUAUCUUCAAGAAAUGUUAAAUGACAUGGAUGCUUCCAGCCCUGAAGCAUCAGACUCCAGGUUCUUUGGCUUUUGGACUCUUGGAGUUACACCAGUGGUUUCCCAGGAACUCUCCAGCCUUGGGCCACAGACUGAAGUUUGCACUGUCGGCUUCCCUGCUUUUGAGGUUUUGUGACUCAGACUGAGCCAACUGGCUUCCUUGCUCUUCAGGUUGCGGACGGCCUAUCGUGGGACUUUGCCUUGUGAUUGUGUGAGUCAAUUGUCCUUAAUAAACUGCCUUUCAUAUAUACAUCUAUCCUAUUAGUUCUGUCCCUCUGGAGAACUCUGACUGCUGAUACACAUAGCAAGACCCCGUCUCUAAAAAAAAGAGAGAAAGGCACAUUGGAAAAUAGAGAAUAGAUCAAGAAAACAAUCCACUCAUAAUUCCAUUACCCUAUCACUACCACUAGUAGCAUUCCAAAAAGGUUUUCAUUAUUAAUUCAGGUUGGUGCUAUAGUGGGUACACAGGGUCAAGGGGAAGGUACCUGCAAAGUCUAAGUGAAGCAAAGACUAUCCUUUGAGAAUGAAAUUAGGAAAAAUUGUUGAGAUCAGCCCUCUAUAGCAAUGGCCCAAUCUAUGAAACUGAAAUAACUUUGCUGAGACAUUUCAGCUUUCUCAUCUGUAAAAUGGCAAUAAUACUUGAAUUCCCUCCUUUUCAGACUUGUUGUGAGAUUAAAAUAAAAUAAUAAAAAGCAACAAAUUAUAAAGUCAUUAGUAAAUGGAUGUAUCCUACUGUGUCAUGAUUAUCCAAUUUAUUUAAAUGACAUAGGCAAUCAAAUUUCAUAAUUCAGGAUUUAAAAAAUUGUACUUGGGGCCUCUCAAUUCCUUUCCUGUCUGAUUUGGUGAAAUAUAAUAGGUAGGUAGUUGGUAAAUAAGUCUUGUUUCUCACAGGUUGUAUAUAUCUAUCUGGUUGGAAAUAAAAUAAAGAUAUGGCAGACUAAUGCCUAUUUGCACGUGCUUUUAGAACAUCUCUACUGUACUGUAGCACCAUUAGAUGAUUAGUAUUAGUAACUAAUGCUCUGGAAGUAUGAGAAUAAUAAAAUAAUGAUGAAAAC